Rhea pennata is the source of this 2408-nucleotide long non-coding RNA. RefSeq lists it as uncharacterized. The record is from RefSeq and is a predicted model, not a curated record. The transcript is spliced from 8 exons. Lineage: Eukaryota; Metazoa; Chordata; Aves; Rheiformes; Rheidae.
GAGAGAAAAAAAAGGAUCCCUAACACUGCAAGAAAUAAACUGUUCAUUAACAGAUUUUCAGUGUUUUUCUUGCAUCUCCUAUUACUUAUUUACCUGGAAGUGCUAUUUCUCCUACCUCUUUAACACAGAGAGAUGCAAGUUCCCAGGAACUUCUCAUAGUGUCCUAAUGCUUGGGAAGGACCUUGAAAUGUCCCUGCCUCUACAGGGCACUCAGAAGCACUCUGAGAACCUUCUAUCCAGUUCGACAUGUUCAUAUCAGCAGUCCCAUUCUCCACAGGGCUCUGGUCUGAGCUGAAAUGAAUCAUUCUACAGAUGGCCAAAGAAGUAGUCACAAAAAUGAACCAGAUAUGUACGGAUGUCCUUGGAUCCUGGAUUAGGAUUAUCAUCUAAGAAAAUGUUAAAGUCGGCCGGGGACCUUGACCAUCCAAACUGUGAAUGAACCGGAGUUCACUGCAAAUCACUCCUGUAAAGAGCUUUCUUUCUAGCACAGAGAUGGCGUUUCAGAGGAUGGGGACAUCUAAAUCAGCUCUAUGGAGAUGGGUCCCCAGAAUCAUCCUAUGCAUUGGGAGAGGAUGGGGAUGGUCCGAGUUUGUUCCUGUCUGUGCAUUACACGUGACACGGUUGUGCUGAUUUCCAGUUGUCCUUGGCAAAGAGAAAAAGCUCUUCAAGGACCUUUUCUGACCUGGCAGAAAUGACUGCAGCUCAGCGGAGAUGGCUUCAUUCUGAACUUUAUUUGUGCCAAUCCUGCAAAAGAAAACUGUAGUAAAAAGCUCACAGUAUGUGUUGACAAAUCAUGCGUUAUACAGAGAAAAACUGCCGUUAAAUUCUGAUCUCUUUCUUUAAUUGAGGGAUUCUUUUAUUCUAUUUUGUGGCAAGAGACUAUUUAGUUCCAAUUUAAGAGAACUUGUUUAGAGCAAAUACAUUCUCCCUAUACAGCUGUUCUCUACCAGUCUGACUGCAGCUUAGCUAUAUAACCCCUUACGGAUGUGCGAAUGCUGUUUGAAUAAUUAACUGCUGCUAAUGAUGAUCCCGUAUUACAGUGAUUGGAGACACUACAAGAAAAAAAAAUAUAAUAGUAUUUCACAAACACUGUGGGAAAUGUGAUUCUCAGCCAGCGCUCUGCAUGAAGAGCAGGGGAGGCUCACUGAAUUUUCUCAGUCACUAAAUGGCAGAAAAUAGGCUCCUAAAGGACUCCACACGGGAUGCUGAGGCAGGAUAUGCAGUACUCAAAUCUUGGCUCUGACACACGUUACAGGCAAAUAUCUCCAAUUCCGCUGCAGAAGAAGAAUCCUGAAAUCCUCCACGAGUGAGGGUGGCUGGUUUAUGUCUCUCUAAGCAAACUGACCCUUCUCUGAUCUAACUUCUGUCUGGGCAAGGACAAGUUUGGGAAGAUUUGGAUGGACACUAGGUGUAAGAUUACGCUUCCUCCAUUCCACUUGAAUAGUGAGGUCAUCAGAGAAUCUGGCCUUCUCAAUAUUUAAUCGAAGUUAGUUUGAUAUCAUAAAAUUCCUAACAGUUACUUGAAACUCACUGUAUAAUCAUAUUGACCCCCUUACACAUUCUGAUAAAUCCCUGCUGCUUAGUGAACAUAAAUGGAAGUCAUGACCAAAGCUAUCUUAAAGAUGCGCCACGCAAGGCAGUAUAAUAUAAAAUACUCAUAAUUAGUGCUACCAGCUGGUUGUUUAAAAAUGAAUUUUGUUAAUAUUUGUAGAUAUUCUUCUGAUGUAGGCUUUUGAUAUAGGAAGAGUUCUGGGAUGAGAGUAUGAAGACUGAAGUGGUAGGGGGGCUACAUUGUGCCAUGUGCAUUGAGAACAACAGUGUACUGUUAGAAAGAAAAGAUAUUGGUCUCUUUCUUGUUACCACCAUUUAAUGAUUAAGGGGCUCAAAAUGUUUAAAUUUUAUCUCUAUCAGGAUUCUGUUAUUCUGUUGUUAGUAUUAUAUAGAUAUAUAUUUAAUGCUAGUAAUGCUAGUAUAUUUGUGGCAUUACUGUUGUACUGUCACUGAAAUUAAGAAUACUUUUCCAGUUUUAGACAAAUCCAAUGACCUAUAGUAUGUCAUUACAGACAGAGGAACAACAAAAGUAACAAAAAAUUAAAAAUUAAAUUAUUUCCUUGUCUUUAAAAUUUGUCUGCAUAUUAAAAAACAACUACACAAUUGGAGCUAACUAUACCUUAUUCACUUCCUAUUUGGUUCCUACAUAAUCAAUUUACUAUAUUGUUAUGAAAGACAUACUCUAUGUACGUAUCAUAACCUUGUGCAGUAAAUUAUUUAGACUUAUAUGAAGUAAAUCUUUGUCAGAGAAUUGAAGAUAACAAGAACUAUUUUUUUCAAAAAUUCUCUUGGAUAGAUUAAACUGAUACUAUUCUUUUCUUGCUAUGUUGUCCAUGAAUAAAAUAUCUUUAAAAGAA